GACGAACGCUGGCGGCGUGCUUAACACAUGCAAGUCGAACGGAAAGUCCCUGCUUUUGUGGGCUGCUCGAGUUGCGAACGGGUGAGUAACACGUGAGUCACCUGCCCUUGACUUUGGGAUAUCUUCAUGCAACUUGGUCUAUUACCUCCUAGGAGCUCCUGCUUCUUGGUGGGGGUUGGUUAGUUUCGGCGGUUGGGGAUGGACUCGCGGCUUAUCAGCUUGUUGUUGGGGUAGUGGCUUACCAAGGCUUUGACCGGUAGCCGGGCUGCGAGGGUCACCGGCCACAGUGGGACGGAGAUGCGGCCCAGACUACAACGGGAGGGAGGAGAGGGGAAGAUUGCACAAUGGGAGGAAGGAUGAUGCAGAAAAGCAGCGUGGGGGAUGAGGGCCUGGGGGUAGGAAAGCGAAGUCGCCUGUGACGAAGCGUGAGUGACGGUAAUGGGUAAAGAAGCACCGGCUAACUACGUG
RNAcentral lists this ribosomal RNA (468 nucleotides) under uncultured bacterium. RNAcentral describes it as "partial 16S ribosomal RNA". It matches the Rfam family "Bacterial small subunit ribosomal RNA", at positions 28 to 507 of the family's 1533-position model. The record is from RNAcentral.